RNAcentral lists this long non-coding RNA (1068 nucleotides) under Canis lupus familiaris (dog). RNAcentral's name for it is "lncRNA (ENSCAFG00040008996.1)". The record is from RNAcentral. Lineage: Eukaryota; Metazoa; Chordata; Mammalia; Carnivora; Canidae.
AGGAGCGCUCACGGCUGUGAUCCCGUAAAACUCGAUUCACAAGAACCGACGGGAAGCUAUUUGGACGAGUGUGUCAACCUCUGCUCCGAGGAACCGAUUGGUCCCGGGCCCGUGCUGCGAUGUCGGGGUAGCAAGGCCAGGAAAGCCCUGUCCCUGCCCUUACAGAGCGUGGCUCCGACCUGGGGAGAUGGUCACGACUUGCUGCAUCCGGGCCCCCGGCGGGGGCGUGAGCUGGUGCAGGGGGGUCACAGCGAAGGCCAAGGCUUCCUCCCGUGGGGGCAGGGAGAGAGUCGGGGAAAAGGAGGCCCUAUGGUUGGGUUUAUGGGAGCGGCGAGUGAUGUUUUCUCGGAAGUCAGGUGGGGCAAUAAGAAAGGACAUUCCAGGUGCAGGGAGUGGCACCUGCAGAGGCGUGGAAGAUGCUGGAACUUGAAACGGGUGUCACCGGAGAGGAACGGCGUGGAAGAGUCUGGGCUUUGUAGAGGACAGAGGGUGCAGGUUCACCGGAGCCAGCCUCCCCGCUCCCGUCAUCAGCAGCAAGAACUGGCUGCGGCUGCACUUUACGUCGGACGGCAACCACCGGCAGCGGGGCUUCAGUGCCCAGUACCAAGGUAGGCGGGCCGCCGGGCGUCCUCAGCGGGUGCAGGGCUGUGUCCUGGGGAGCUCGUCCCGGCCCCGGCCUGGGUCCGGCUGGCCAGGGUGGACAUGCCUCGAGCAUCCUGUUCUUAUUGGCAGACGUGGGGUCUCUGUGUCUGCCGUAGUGGCCUGUGGCCCCACGGUCACCUCGCCCCACUGUCCCUUCCCGGCCCCUCCGCAGGCCGGGUGCUCGUGAGCCCGAGUGCCUCCAAAGAGCCGGGCCGGGCGCUCGGGCAGCACCACCUCGAUUGCCCUGCUUCAUUCCCCUGCGAAGUAAAUGCCGUCAAUGGCCCCAUUAUAUGGACGAGGAAACUGAGGCUCAGGGAAAUUAAGCCAGCUUCCUGAGGCAGCUGACGCCCCCUGCCUUUUAUUAUUAUUUUUUUAAGAUUUUAUUUAUUUAUUCAUAAGAGACACACAGAGAGGCAGAGACACAGA